AAGUCGUAACAAGGUUUCCGUAGGUGAACCUGCGGAAGGAUCAUUAACACAAUUUUGAUUCACAAAUCUCUUUGCUUCGUUGUCUUUUUUUCUAGAUGCAAGAAAUUUCAUCUAGAGAAGAGCAACAAGCAAUUAACCCCCUUUCUAUGACGAAAAAUCUUUACAAGAGAAUGGAAGAAAAGGAAUGUGUUUCGUCACAAUCCGUUUCAACCGUUUUUUUCCUUUACCCAAUUUUUUUUACCCCUUUUACAACCUGUAAUAGACUGAAAACAAAAAUCAUAUUCUAGAUCUCUAGAAUCUAAAACUAAGAAAACAACUCUUAGCAACGGAUAUCUAGGUUCUC
RNAcentral lists this unclassified non-coding RNA (343 nucleotides) under fungal sp. RNAcentral's name for it is "partial internal transcribed spacer region". The stretch from base 1 to 46 matches the Rfam family "Eukaryotic small subunit ribosomal RNA", at positions 1786 to 1831 of the family's 1831-position model. Lineage: Eukaryota; Fungi. The record is from RNAcentral.